CACGCCGUAAACGUUGGGCACUAGGUGUGGGGUUCUAUCGACGGAUUCCGUGCCGUAGCUAACGCAUUAAGUGCCCCGCCUGGGGAGUACGGCCGCAAGGCUAAAACUCAAAGGAAUUGACGGGGGCCCGCACAAGCGGCGGAGCAUGUGGCUUAAUUCGAUGCGACGCGAAGAACCUUACCUGGGUUUGACAUGUAGGGAAAAGCCGUAGAGAUGCGGUGUCCUUCGGGGCCUUACACAGGUGG
RNAcentral lists this ribosomal RNA (245 nucleotides) under uncultured Actinomycetes bacterium. RNAcentral describes it as "uncultured actinobacterium partial 16S ribosomal RNA". It matches the Rfam family "Bacterial small subunit ribosomal RNA", at positions 796 to 1041 of the family's 1533-position model. The record is from RNAcentral. Lineage: Bacteria; Bacillati; Actinomycetota; Actinomycetes.